GUAAGGAAUAUUGGACAAUGGACGCAAGUCUGAUCCAGCCAUGCCGCGUGAAGGAUUAAGGUCCUCUGGAUUGUAAACUUCUUUUAUAAGGGACGAAAAAAGGAUUUUCUAAGUCGUCUGACGGUACCUUAUGAAUAAGCACCGGCUAACUCCGUGCCAGCAGCCGCGGUAAUACGGAGGGUGCAAGCGUUAUCCGGAUUCACUGGGUUUAAAGGGUGCGUAGGCGGGCAGGUAAGUCAGUGGUGAAAUCCUAGAGCUUAACUCUAGAACUGCCAUUGAUACUAUCUGUCUUGAAUAUUGUGGAGGUAAGCGGAAUAUGUCAUGUAGCGGUGAAAUGCUUAGAUAUGACAUAGAACACCUAUUGCGAAGGCAGCUUACUACGCAUAUAUUGACGCUGAGGCACGAAAGCGUGGGGAUCAAACAGGAUUAGAAACCCGUGUAGUCC
RNAcentral lists this ribosomal RNA (445 nucleotides) under uncultured bacterium. RNAcentral's name for it is "bacterial SSU rRNA". It matches the Rfam family "Bacterial small subunit ribosomal RNA", at positions 354 to 796 of the family's 1533-position model. The record is from RNAcentral.